Molecule: ribosomal RNA, 460 nt
Filed under: uncultured bacterium
Lineage: Bacteria
Description: partial 16S ribosomal RNA
Rfam family: Bacterial small subunit ribosomal RNA
Source: RNAcentral
CCUACGGGUGGCAGCAGUGAGGAAUAUUGGUCAAUGGACGCGAGCCUGAACCAGCCAUGUCGCGUGAAUGAUGACUGUCCUACGAGUUGUAAGCUUCUUUUAUAAAGACAUAAAGUGCGGCACGUGUGCCUUUUUGUCUGUACUUUAUGAAUAAGGAUCGGCUAACUCCGUGCCUGCGGCCGCGGUCAUACGGAGGAUCCGAGCGUUAUCCGGAUUUAUUGGGUUUAAGGGGAGCGUAGAUGGGUUGUGAAGUAAGUUGUGAAAGUUUGCGGCUCAACCGUAAAAUUGCAAUUGAUACUGGCAGUCUUGAGUACAGGUGAGGUAGGCGGAAUUCGUGGUGUAGCGGUGAAAUGCUUAGAUAUCACGAAGAACACCGAUUGCGAAGGCAGCUUACUAAACUGCCACUGACAUUGAGGCUCGAAAGUGUGGGUAUCAAACAGGAUUAGAUACCCGUGUAGUC